UGCCAUUCUCCAUCGGAGCAUACUUGAACUGACGGUUACUCCCAAUCAUCCUCACUUUUCCAACAAAAAUGGUUUCUCAUUCGUUUGGCUGUGGAAAUCAUGGAAACAUUGUCACAUUCUCUAUAUACAUAAAAUUCGGCCUUUUAAGGUUACGUAUUAUAUUUUCAAGUUCUGAAAAUAUUCAGCAUGUGUAAAUAUGAUUGUAAUAUUGAGAAGGAAUGUCCGGGUCAUAUUUAGGCGAAAUCGGAGUUGAGGGAUGCCGAGAAUCUUCAAUUUUGUAUUCUCCUCAAGUCCGCUUUAAUAAGACUGUGCAACCGCAGAGAUCAAAAAUAAUACACGAAGAUCCUGAGCAAUCAGACAAAAUUGCAGGCUGCUUAAAAUCCGGCUUUUUUGCAAGAUUACUUUUUAAAUCUCUAUGCUCUUGAGGAGAUUUGAAUCGUUGCUGAAUGUAGAGCUCUCCAUGGGAUAAAUAGACUGAAGAGGAUAUCUCGUGAAAAAAGUCUUCUAUUGUGAAUCUCAAGUUUUCGUGGAAUUUUUAAACUCAUCACUGGAUAAAUUCUAUAAAGAGGAGGCAGCGGUGUCAAUAUUCUGUCGAGAUGAAAAUCAACGAAUGUAAGUCCCUCCUGUUCUCAAAAAUUUAAAC
Leptopilina heterotoma is the source of this 643-nucleotide long non-coding RNA. RefSeq lists it as uncharacterized. Lineage: Eukaryota; Metazoa; Arthropoda; Insecta; Hymenoptera; Figitidae. The transcript is spliced from 4 exons. The record is from RefSeq and is a predicted model, not a curated record.